UCAACCAAAUCAGCCUAUAAUACAGCUUUUUACGCGUGCAGAUUUCUGAUAGUGACCAUCGUCCAUCAUCCCAUCAUCCCAUUUCUCACUCUUUCAAAACACAGCGAUAGCCACAAACGAUUUUCUUUCUCCUCUUCUCUCCUCUCUACCACGCUCCCAAAGACCGAACCCUAGGAGACAACUUCCAACCACUCCCCUCUGCGCAACCAUCUCCUGCACCCCAAAAAUCCGUGCAACAGUGGAGGUCAGCACGAUUUUGGGGAUAGGGAUGCAAACUUUUCAAACCUUAUCACGAUUUUGCCUUUUUCUUCAGUUUUAGUUUCAAAUCCGGAGGUUCAAGUCCGGAUUUGACCUAUAAAUAGGGUGUUCUUCAACCCUAGAAGAGGAACAAGAAACGGGAAGGGAAAAUUGGGGAGAAAAAGGAAAAAAAGUGGGUGAUCGAGAACGAGGAAGAGAGAAAGAGGCGAGAAAUUGUCUCCGUUCAAAUUUUGGAGUGUGAAUCUGGUGGCUGGGAUCCUUGACAGAAGGCUCUAGUUUACUGCACAAAACAAGAUCUUUUAUUUUGAUUUAGCAAUGGUGGAUAAUACUUUUAUGAAGGGUUACUAGAAGUAUAUAACGUAGUGACCCUGAUGUACAUACGGUUCCAACGUUUGACUUAGGAAUUUCUCAAUCUGAAGAAGAAGAUGCAUCGCCUUCGGAAGAAGUUAGAGGUAUUGAGCAUAAAAGAAAAGUUAAAGAUGUUCCGAGUACGUACAAUGAUGAUGAUGAGUUGGUGAAAGAAGUAUUUUGUUUUUCAAAUUUUUACUUUGUUUUUCAGUCUCUUACUUUGUACUGAAUGACACCGAUUUUGGCUUUUGAGAUAAAUUAUGACUUAACUCUUUUAGACUGGGUUGGGUAGUAAAUGAUGAUAUAAAAUGCGUGUUAAGGGUGA
Molecule: long non-coding RNA, 931 nt
Organism: Capsicum annuum
Lineage: Eukaryota; Viridiplantae; Streptophyta; Magnoliopsida; Solanales; Solanaceae
Exons: 2
Source: RefSeq, a predicted model, not a curated record